UUUUCUAAUUUAGAUUUAGAUUAGGUAAAAAAAUAGGAGGUGGUGAAUAAAUUUAGAAUUUGAGGGUUCAGCGUCUUGAUUUUUAGUUUCUUCUAUAGUUCAUUAUCUUUCUCUGGUAAACUUUCAUCGGAGAUCCGACCAACCACCACCAAAAUGAUACCCCACUUGUCAACCUACCACUUUUCUCUUCUUCCAUCUCUAAUUGUCUGUUCUAUUUUUUAACAACACGAUCACGUCUGAAAGAAGUCGAGCAAAAUCCAGGCAGUCGGACUCCGGUGACCUCCAAACAGCCCAAACCAGACCUCCCUCUCUUCUCCAACCAAAAUCCCACAACCCCAUCUCUGGUGAACUUCCGAGAAACCACCCACACCACAAGAACCUCGCCAGAAAUAACCAAAACACACCCACCAGAGAACCCACAUGAAGACGUUCCUCCACCACCAGUCUUCAUCUCAUCCAAACAGCGACCAACGAACCAGACCCCAUUUUUUUUUCAAACCAAAAUCGAGUCCUCCCAUCUUUUCCGGCAAAACCCCGACCCAUUUUCCCCUUUUUCGUUCCCAACAAGGCAACAAAAAAUCAGCCCCUUCCCCUUUCCCUCUAUUCGAGUUUAUAUGUGUUUUUGUAGGUCAUUUGUGAGCUCAAAGCUCCAUUAAACAAUGAGGUCGAAGCUCUAAAAGUUUUCUCCGGUAUGGCUCCAUCACAGGUAAACCACGACCAAUUAACCAGACCUUGCACCAGCGAGCUCGAAGCUCCACACUCAAACUCUAGCGAAGCUCAAAGGUUCAGCCAUUCCGAUCAACUCCACGUUGUUGAAACCUCACUAUAUGCAUUCCUCAAAUGUAUACGUACAUCCUGGUCCAGUAGAGCAUGAUGUAUUAAAAAUUCAAGUUCGUCAUCGUUCCGAAGGAAUUUGGAAUGGUAGUAUAAAAGAAAUUUGGGCUUGGAAAAGAAUUAUUCCCUUGCAAUCAUUGCCAAAGCCUCUAAGGACCAAUCAAUUUGAGGAUUCAACUGCGCUUGCACAUAAAUGGACGUGACAUAGAAAUCAUCAAAAUGAGGCGUAAACUAUAAUCGGUGUGAUUAGGGAUGUACUAAAUAAUCUAACUGAUGAACAUGUAUUUAAUAUUAUUAGUAUUUUAAACUAUUCAUAUUUUAUUUCAUUUUAAAUAAAAAUAUGUUUGGUAGAUCUUUAAAUGAGGCACUUAUGUUUCACAAUCCAAGAAAAUUAUGUAAUAAAAUGACAUAUACAUAGAUUCUUGUUAGGUCCUUAAAAGUAAAAUAUCUUAUGACAGUACAAAAAAAUUAUUUUUUAAGAUUGUUCAUUUUCACGUACAUUUUUUUUAUUUUUCUACCAAUUUUAUUUUUAUAAUUAUCUUACUUAAUUAUUUUUUUAUAGUUUAUUUGGCAACCUUAUUCGGAAGAUGUUAUUAAUGGAUUGCCUGAGUGGUGUCGGUCGGAACAACGUGUUUGGAUGGUACAAGUGUCACUUAUUUAUGAAAUUUAUCGUGAGUGGCACAUGAUUGAUCGUGUUGUGAGACGGUUCGGUUAUUUACAACAUAUUCCUAGACCGUGUACUCAAUUUUUUGAAUAUCAUUUUAAGCGUGAUAAAAGAUCCAAAAUAAAACAAGAAGAUAUAGAUGCAUUUAACUACAACGUCAAAAUCGUAUAUUUCGAGAUCCAUUUGUAAGUGAUCAAACAGAUUACUUUCGUUGGUACAUGAGGCAUACCCGCAUGUUCAUUGGAAAUCCACAACAUGUUGUACAAAAAGGGUAUCAACACAUGGAAGAAAGGCAUGAGGCAUUAGUAUGUAUAUUAUGUAAAUUUUAAAUUAUUAUGUCAAUUUUAAUAAUAUUUUUGUUAUUAAUAUUUAUUUAUUCAUUAUAGGCCAGGGGUCAUGAAAUGCAGUAUCGUCGAGCUUGAAUAAUUGAAAAUGAUGAAAAUCAAUCUAAUGAAAUGAGACAAUAUGCAGAGGAAGCCGCUCGUAUUUCAAUGGAGUCAAUGAAUGCGGCCUUCCAAGAAACGCGAUUGAGCUUUGAUCCUGAUUAUAAUCCUCCUACUCAAUACAUCGAACCACCUCCAGUACAAGUAUCUGACCCAUCAAGACAAACAACACCGAGAGAGGGUGCACGUCGAGGUAGAACGAGCGCUGGUGAAACGAAUUUUGAAAUGUGUAAAGUUUGUUGUUUCGUGCAAGUUUGAAAAAAGUAAUGAGAUUCUUACGCAAUGAGAUUCUUAAGCAGUGAAAGUUUGCAGUAUUUAUAUUUUCUUUAUGGCAUAAGUCAAAUCAAUACUUUUUAUGUUAGGUCAAAUCAUUACUUUUUAAUAGAGUUCAAAUCAAUAAUAUAAUAAUAAUAUAAAAAUAUUAUACUUACAAUAUUUAAAAUGCAGCAAGACAUAUUAAAUUCAUGUCAACAAAUAAAUAUAAAAGAUAUAUCAUAAUAUUAAUAACAAGACAAUAAAAAUACAUUAACCUUAAAAACAUAGACAAAAUAUUUAAAAUUGAGUAGGACAUCGUGCCUUGGUGUGACCUGUCUCCUUACAAACACUACAUUUUCUAGUCAUGCGAGCCGGAGCUAUAUCCUUAUCAUUCUCAAGAUGGCUUCUUACUUGCGUACUACUUGUCUGCAAAUAUUCAGUAUUUGCAAUUAAAUUAAAAGGAGCUGGUGGCCAAUACAUUUCAUCACCCACUGGUUAAAUAUCUCAGUGUAUGUUCCUUUGUAAUAUUUUAUACUAUAGAAUUUACUUACAUAAAAUUUUGGCUCGAUUCCGCGAAGUCCACAAAAUUUGAUGGCAUGCGAACAAGGCAUAUGAUAAUUUCUUCAUUUUCCACAAGAACAUUUCUUACCUUUUGCAGUAACCUUGUGGACAUUCCACCUUUACCAUCAUGAGCAAAAGUAUAAAUUUCAAAAACUCCAUCACCUGUGUUGUAAGUCAUCAUAUCUGUGUGCCCUUGAGCUCUUUGACAAUAAUCAUUAAAAAAUUUUAUCUAUCGCAAGAGGCCAUGAAGUAUUACUUUGAAUUAAUGCAAUUGCAAGAUUGUUUCUUUCGACAAAACGAUCAACGAGAGUUUUGAACGUCAUUUGAACCAUGGCAGUCACAGGAAAUCCCCAAACUUUUUUCAAUAAAUCAUUAUAUGACUCAGACACAUUUGUCGUCAUGGCACCCCAUCUACGACCGCCAUCCUUAUACAUUGUCCAUUUUUUCAAAGGAAAUUCAUUUAACCAUUCAUAUUCUGCAGGAGACAAUGUUUUGAUUUGUUGCAUCUGUUGCACAAACUUUUUCUCCUGAUGCUCAGUAGUAGCCAACCACAUUAAUUUUUCGAGUUAACUAUUUAUAAUGUUUUUAUUAAACUUUGUUUUUAAGUGUCAAACACAAAAUCUAUUAUAUAUGUUGGGUGGACUCAACCAAUCAUAAAAUUGAACGCACUGCAAGAUUUCUUGAUGACGGUCAGAAAUAAGACCAAUUCCUUGUUGUUCACAAACUACAUCUGUCCAUAAUAACUGGAGAAAUCAUGACCAAGACUCAAAACUCUCACAUGCAACUAAAGCAUAUGCAUGUGGAAAAACAUUUCCAUUCGCAUCAAUUUCAAACGCAAUUAACAGUUUAAUGUCAUACAAACCAUAAAGAUAUGUGCCGUCGAUAGAUAUGACCGGCCUACAACUUUUGAAACCAUCAGUGCUCUGUUUAAAAGCCCAAAAAAGAAAUUUAAAAAUUUACUCACCUUGCAUUGUUGUAGAAUGAUGCUUCCACUCAAUAAUAGUGCCUGGAUUGAAUAAUUGUAGUGCAACCAUGUAUCGAGGUAAUGCCUUACAUGAACUUUCAAAAUCACCAUAAACCAUUCAAAAUGCUUUUAUUUGACCUUUUUGUGCUUUUCUAUAAUUAGGAGUAUAGUGAUGCUUUCCUUUGAUAAUUUCACGGAUCAUCUUAAUAUUUAUGUCUGGAUUUUACAUAACAUAUGAUAUUAAUGAAGUGACUAUCAAGUUAUCAUUCAAAUUGAAAUGAUCCUCCUUAUAGUUAUCUGUAAGUUAAGUAUGUGGUUUAACCAUUUUUUUUGUCUUCCACAUACCGCUUGAAAUCUCUCUAAACCGAAUCAUCCAAUCACACCCUAACUCAUGACGCUUGCAAAUAACUUUUCAACUUUUACUCUUGGAUUGAUCAUAAAGAAAUUCUUUUUUAAUAGCAAGACUAUAUGCUCUUACUGCAGAUUUCAUUUGCAUCUUAUUCAUAAAUAACAUACCUAGUUGCAUAUACAAAUUAAA
Molecule: non-coding RNA, 4259 nt
Organism: Solanum lycopersicum (tomato)
Lineage: Eukaryota; Viridiplantae; Streptophyta; Magnoliopsida; Solanales; Solanaceae
Source: RefSeq, a predicted model, not a curated record